Amycolatopsis orientalis HCCB10007 is the source of this 72-nucleotide non-coding RNA. It matches the Rfam family "ASpks TB sRNA". The record is from Rfam. NCBI's taxonomy places the organism in Bacteria, Bacillati, Actinomycetota, Actinomycetes, Pseudonocardiales, Pseudonocardiaceae.
UUUGAUCGACCCGAGCCACAGCGCGGCGUCCUCGCGGCCCUGGCCGUAGGUCGCCAGCAGCGCUUGCGCCUC